This 64-nucleotide transfer RNA is filed under the name Callispa bowringii. Its description in RNAcentral is "tRNA-Leu". It matches the Rfam family "tRNA". Rfam says of the family: Transfer RNA (tRNA) molecules are approximately 80 nucleotides in length. Their secondary structure includes four short double-helical elements and three loops (D, anti-codon, and T loops). The record is from RNAcentral. Lineage: Eukaryota; Metazoa; Arthropoda; Insecta; Coleoptera; Chrysomelidae.
UUUAAUAUGGCAGAAAAGUGCAACGGUCUUAAACUCCGUAUAUAAAUUUAUAAUUUUAUUAGAA